GAUGAUGCAUUUAACACCUUCUUCAGUGAAACUGGAGCUGGAAAGCAUGUUCCUCGUGCUGUUUUUGUAGAUCUUGAGCCUACUGUCAUUGAUGAAGUCAGGACAGGAACAUACAGACAGCUCUUUCACCCUGAGCAACUCAUUAGUGGCAAAGAAGAUGCAGCCAACAACUUUGCCCGUGGCCAUUAUACAAGUAUAUAUAUUACUCUGCAUUUGUUACUCUUUCAGGUCAAUUGUGUGCUGAUGGUCAUCUUUGUAUCUUUUGUGCAGUUGGGAAAGAAAUAGUUGAUCUUUGUUUGGACCGCAUUAGGAAGCUUUCAGAUAACUGUACUGGUCUUCAAGGUUUCCUGGUUUUUAAUGCUGUUGGUGGUGGCACUGGUUCUGGUCUUGGGUCACUUUUACUGGAGCGUCUCUCAGUUGACUAUGGCAAGAAAUCAAAACUUGGAUUCACAAUUUAUCCCUCACCACACGUCUCAACAUCUGUUGUGGAACCUUACAACAGUGUGCUUUCAACUCACUCCCUGCUUGAGCACACUGAUGUUGCAAUUCUUCUGGACAAUGAGGCCAUUUAUGACAUUUGCAAGCGCUCACUGGACAUUGAGCGCCCCACAUACACCAACCUUAACCGCCUUAUUUCAC
This 639-nucleotide long non-coding RNA is filed under the name Solanum tuberosum (potato). RNAcentral's name for it is "long non-coding RNA (STUB_LNC011859)". The record is from RNAcentral. Lineage: Eukaryota; Viridiplantae; Streptophyta; Magnoliopsida; Solanales; Solanaceae.